This 261-nucleotide non-coding RNA is filed under the name Roseburia sp. RNAcentral's name for it is "T-box sequence". It matches the Rfam family "T-box leader". Rfam says of the family: Uncharged tRNA acts as the effector for transcription antitermination of genes in the T-box leader family. T-boxes are found upstream of many aminoacyl-tRNA synthetase genes and some amino acid biosynthetic genes usually in Gram-positive bacteria. The record is from RNAcentral. Lineage: Bacteria; Bacillati; Bacillota; Clostridia; Lachnospirales; Lachnospiraceae.
AGACAGGCGUAGAAAAGAAGAAGUAAGAAUGAGAACAGUCAUACAGAGAGUGACCGGUCGCUGAGAGGUGCAUGAGCUGCUGAUUCCGAAUACAUCUUGGAGCCUUGCACCGAAUAUUCUUUAUAAAAAAUUAGUAGGCUGCAACGGAUUCGCACACGUUAUCGUGCCAGAGUAUCGCUUUUUUGCCGUACUUAUUGAGACAGACAGUGUGAACUGGCUGUAAACUUAGGUGGUAACACGGGUAUGUGCCUCGUCCUUUGA